Molecule: small RNA, 1414 nt
Filed under: Histoplasma capsulatum
Lineage: Eukaryota; Fungi; Ascomycota; Eurotiomycetes; Onygenales; Ajellomycetaceae
Also listed under: 1 other name
Description: hypothetical RNA
Source: RNAcentral
AUACUGCUGUCAAUCUAUCUAUUGCUGCUAAUCUAUCUACCACUGCUAAUCUAUACUGCUGUCAAUCUAUCUACCACUGCUAAUCUAUUGCUGCUAAUCUAUCACUGCUAAUCUAUCACUGUCAAUCUAUCUACUGCUAUCAAUCUAUCUAUUGCUGCUAAUCUAUUGCUGCUAAUCUAUCACUGCUAAUCUAUUACUGUUAAUCUAUCUACUGCUGUCAAUCUAUCUAUCACUGCUAAUCUAUUUAUUACUGUCAAUCUAUCUACUACUGCUAAUCUAUUGCUGCUAAUCUAUCACUGCUAAUCUAUUACUGUUAAUCUAUCACUGUCAAUUUAUCUACCACUGCUAAUCUAUCACUUUUAAUCUAUCACUGUUAAUCUAUUUCUGUCAAUCUAUCUAUCACUGCUAAUCUAUCACUGCUAAUUGCCCCGGUGGCUGAAUGGGUAGUGCAGUCAUCAGAUAGCAUCUUGGUAUGGAGACUCAAGAUAUGUGGGUUUGAAAUCUGCAGAGAACAAUAUUACAUUCAGAGCCAACUUCUCAGCUUCUAAAAUAAAGAGAUGUGAACUUGUCAAGUAGAUAUCUUUGAGCAGAUCUACUAUCUGAUUUAGCUUAUUAUUUCUGAGCUGAAAAUCUGUAUUGCAUGUAUCAAAUCCUGUCUUUCAUUAAUUUUUCUAUAUUCUAGUUAUAUUCUUGAUAUCAUUCAACACUAAGCAUUCCUUCUGUAUAAUCAACUCUUGUCUGUAUUUAACAUUACAUAAGAACUUGUCAUAAGCACUGCUUGCAUAUAAGUAUAACAGAAGAAUAAUAAUAAUAAUAAUAAUAUCACUGCUAAUCUAUCACUGCUAAUCUAUUACUACUAAUCUAUUACUGUCAAUCUAUCUAUCACUGCUAAUCUAUCACCACUGUCAAUCUAUCUACUGCUGCCAAUCUAUCUAUCACUGCUAAUCUAUCGCUGCUAAUCUAUCGCUGCUAAUCUAUCGCUGCUAAUCUAUCGCUGCUAAUCUAUCGCUGCUAAUCUAUCGCUGCUAAUCUAUCGCUGCUAAUCUAUCGCCGCCAACCUACCUACCGCUGCCAACCUACCUACCGCUGCCAACCUAUCUAUCACUGCCAACCUAUAUAGGGUAAAUCAUGGUCCCAUUUGGUCCCAUUUUGUAAAAUGGGAUCAAAUGGGACCAGGAUCACUAAUUUAUUAGUAAAACAUGAUCUGGGACUAGAUUUAUAAUAUAAACAGUGUAAAGUGACUAAUUUGCUAAACACUAUAUGGGACCAGGACUAAGAUAUCUAAUAAUGGAACUGAGGAAAAAUUUGGUCCCAGUCCCAUGCAUGGUCACACAGCCAGUCUAUAGACAGAAUUAUUACAUUUUCAGAAGUGUAUACUUUUUUUGAUUUAGAUAUACUAUCAGAUAUGAUUCAA